Long non-coding RNA from Octopus bimaculoides (California two-spot octopus), 2545 nucleotides. Lineage: Eukaryota; Metazoa; Mollusca; Cephalopoda; Octopoda; Octopodidae. The record is from RefSeq and is a predicted model, not a curated record.
GAAAUACUGUCAACCUGUUGUGGUGACAUCAAGUGAUGAUGCUGUGGAAGAUAAUGCUGCUAUGGUUUGUAACUAUACAUCAGAUACAAUGUCAUCUAAGAGAAGUGGUAGACAAGGAGACCUGAAACAUUAUGAAGAAAUACCAGGAGUAUCAGAUCAAAAUAUAUAUAAAAACAACGAUUCAUCUACAUCAAAAGAUUCUAAUGAAGAAACACCAGUGAAACAUGUAUAAUUGUAGUACUGAAAUAACCCAACCAAUUGUAUGUAUGUAUAAUAUCUGUACAUACACAAUCUCAUAUAUACAUGGUGUAUUUUCUGUACAAUAUAGCAGUAUAGAUGUAAAGAUGAGGGUGUCAAGUAAUGAACAAUGCUUCAGAUAACUAAAUAUAUAAGUUCUAUAAAUUAAUAGCUUUCUUUCAGUCUGUAUUAGUUUCUGUACAAUAAUCAUCGUAUAUUUGUUUUUCAAAAAGUUUUUCGUUAAGCACGAAAAACUUUUUUUUUUUUUUAAUUUUUACUAAAUAAUGCAGUUUAUGAAUCCAAAUAUUGACACAUGAUUAUAAUUCUCUGAAGAUAAUUAUCUAAUCAACCCGAAACUUUGUUUGCAGACCAUAAAAACAGUCACUUUAGUGAGAUAUUCUAGUUGCAAGCUGCCUAAAUACUUCAUUGUCUUUCAUUCCUAUUGAAGUCAAUGGAAUAAUAAUAAUAAUAAUAAUUGUUUCUAAGAAAGCACAAAGCCAAAAGUUUGGUUGGGUAGGUUAGGUCAAAUAUAUCAUCUCAAAUAUUCUGCUGGUAUUAUAUCUUAUCAAUCCCAGAAGGAUGAAAGGCACAAUUGACCUCUGCAGAUUUUGAACUCUGAAUGAGUCAUAAAGAAUAAUGCAAAGCUUUUUAUUCCGAUGUAUAACAGAAUUAAGGUAAAGGGACAAAAUGACUUGCAGUUUUCCUUUUAGUUCUUUCCAUUCUGAAAUGAAAUCCCAUCAAUGCUAACCUUUCUUUUUAUCCUGUCAAGAUCAAUUAAAUAAAGUACUAGCCAAUUACUGGGGUUGAUGAUAUCAGAUAUCAUCCCCAUCUUCUCAAAAUUGUUGUACCUAAAUCAGAAGCCAUUAUUAUGGAUGGUGGCAAGCUGGAAGAAUCUUUAGAGCAUUGGGGAAAAAAACAUCUUAUAGCAUCUCCUGGCUCUUUACAUACUGGAUUCAAUUCCUCUCAGGAUCAAACAUUCGCAUCAAUGGUGUUCACAAAACCCAUACCUCUCAAAAUUGCUGGCCUGUACCAAAAUGAGAAAUCAUUAUCAUCAUCAUCAUUUAUAACGUUUGUUUUAUUAUGUGGCCAUCUAGAGAUAACCAUCUUGUUUAACAUUGACACUUUCAGAAGUAUUUGUAAUUAUAGCUACAUUAUACCUUUAAUUCUAAGUGUAAGCAGUAUUUCAGAAAUUGUAAAUCAUAAUGUCAUAUAUUCUUGUGACAAUAUAUAAACAUUCUCAUUGAAAUAUAAAUGCAUAUAAAUUUCCAAGAGGACACUAGCAUUGAAUUUUAGGAGCAAGGUAAUUCAACAUAAAGAUAGUUAUAAUGGCAAUAAAGUUUAUGAAAAAGAAUGAACAUCACACAGUCUCACUUUUUUCCAUGUACAAAUUUAAAGUAUUUGUCUAAUAAAAUCAAUGUAAAAGAGAAGAUUGUCAUUGGUCUUCUGUUUAGGUCAUUCAGCCAAUCAGAUUCUCACUAAAACACAGAAAGAAAUCACUAACAAAGAUAUGCAUUCACAUUACUGAUGUUCUUAAACCAAACAAUUAUGUAUAAAUCUAGAAUAUUACUGCUUUUGAAAUAUAUAUCGACAUAGAUAUAUGUAAAUAGUUAUUGAUAACAGUAAACAAACACCAUCUUUGAGGAUAAAUACAUGCAGAAUAUUAUUACAUGGAUGUACUCCCACAAAACAUACAACUUCAAUGACACAUGCAGCCCUCUCCUAGCAGCAGACUAUCUGCCUGACGUGCUACACUACUCCAUCAACAUACAGCCAUUGUCACACCAUUACAGCAGCACGUACAAUGGAUCUUUCUACAACAAUACAUCUUUCUAUUCUCACUGAAUAACCAAUGAUAUAAUUAUUAAAGAGGUUCAAUCCUCAAAACAUCUGAUAUCUUUACCACAGCGACAAAAUGUUGCUCUCAUUGACUAUUAUAUUGUCAAUAAUCCACUGUGUCCUGACCAUAGACCUUACAUAUCAUGUGGAAGAAGAGAGAAGUCCAGGAACAUAUGUAGCAGACAUUGCUGCUGAUUCUAAACUUUUAGACAAUGUUAAACCAUCUGACCAACAUUUGAUAACAUUCAGUCAAUUCAAACGAAAGGUGGCACAGUUAUUUAAUAUCACCAAAACAGGUAAACUGUACACUGCUCAGACACUGGAUGCAGAAGAUCUAUGUACAUUCAACAAAGAAUGUUCCAGAACUGUUAAAAUUAUUAUAAAGAAAGUGGAUAGUUUCACAAAAAUAUUAAAAGUCAAAAUAGUGAUAGAAGACAUUAAUGACCAUGAACCGGAGUUUCCAGAAAAACAA